Molecule: RNA transcript, 7001 nt
Organism: Culex quinquefasciatus (southern house mosquito)
Lineage: Eukaryota; Metazoa; Arthropoda; Insecta; Diptera; Culicidae
Gene: norpA
Gene name: 1-phosphatidylinositol 4,5-bisphosphate phosphodiesterase
Exons: 14
Source: RefSeq, a predicted model, not a curated record
GCUCAGCUGCGGUUCGUCGGUCGGUUCUGAGCCUCAGCUUGACAGAUGUUUUUGGAGUGUCGUUCGUCAUAGUCUCGCCGUCGGGAUCCGUGGUCCGUCGCCCGUCGUGUCGUGUGCCCCUGGUUCCCUGUUGUUCCGAAGAUAGUUUUGCGGAUCUUGGGUUGGCCAGGCCGUCUCUCCCGGAUUCAAGUUGGGUUCUUUUGUGGAAAAUCCUUUGACAGCCAGCCUGCUAAGUUUUGGUGGUGAAGUGAAAAUCUCCGAGCGCCCACCACCAGUUUGGCGAAUUUUCCAAGGGAUCCGUGAAAAUGUCAAACCAACGGGGCGAGGACAUGCUUCUGGCGAAGAAGGUUUCUGCGGCCGCCGCAGCUACUGCUGUGACGAUCUACUAGGUUGUAAGGUGGUCCAGAUUUCCGGACUCCGGACGAAUCUCCUCAAGCUCGAGGAAAAACGCAGGCCGAGACACACAGGCAGGGGUGGUGCAUUUUCCAAGCCCCACAGAAUUCACACUUGUAUUUUUGGGGAGUGUGAGAGAGUUUUCCGUCGUCGUCCAUCGAAGCAACCCCAGCAGAAGAGGCAAACAAGCAGCAAGCAGUCCGUGCCAGCUUCGAUAGCUCCCCGAAAAAAAAAAACGUGCGCGCCUGUGUGUGUUUGUGUGAAUUUGGCAGUGUGUGCGUGCACUGUGCGCACGUGUGUCUGUGUGUCGGCAAGCAAUUCUAGCAGGCCGUGCGUGCGGGAAAAUCAGAAAAUCAAGAAGAAAGCUCAGGCCAAAAGGAAAACUCACUUAUCUGGGUGUUCGUUUUUCCACGCCACCCUCGAUACAAACACACACACACAUACAGACGGCAGGCAUUGUUUUGUUUGUGUGUGUGCGUGCGCUGAAAAUUCGGCGAUAGAGCGAGCGAGUGUUAUCUCCAAGAAAGAGAAACAAGCAGAGAAAGAGAGAGUAGAGUGUUGCCGAUUGUGAAAAGAACUUAAUUGAAAAGUGAUUCAUUAUAGUUAUUGGCUGAGUGCGUUUUGUUAGGGUUCGUGGAGGCCACCCACACCUCCAGCAGCGGCGGCGACUCCCCGGCUAAACCGUCCGCGUACACAACCCCACUCACACACUCAAACACCAUCAAGCCUAAACAAGAGCGAGCGGCUUAAGUUUAGUCGCGGUCUAAGCACGCGCUAUUUAAGCUAUUUCAAGAUCUCAUACACCAAAAAAAUAAACCACACACACACAGUAAGCCAUGACGAAGCGGUUCGAGUUUAACUGGCAGAUCCCGGUGCCGGAAGUGCUCCAGAAUGGGUGCGUCUUCGACCGGUGGACCGAGGAGAAGGAUAACAACGAAUUUGAGCCAGACUGCCUGUUCAAGGUGGACGAGUACGGCUUCUUCGUCUACUGGAAGAGCUCGGGGCGGGAAGGUGAUGUGAUAGAGCUUUGCCAAGUCAGUGAUAUCCGUGCCGGUGGAAUGCCAAAGGACAUGAAACUGUUCAACCAGCUGUGCAACAAACACGGCGAAAAUGUGGAGGAAAAGUCGCUCACAAUCUGCUCCGGUACGGACUACAUCAACAUCAACAUGCAGCACGUGGUCUGUCCGGAUGCGGCCACGGCCAAGGUUUGGCUCGAGGGUCUCCGGAAAAUCACCCACAACGGCAAAGCAAACAACUUUUGUCCGAUGACUGCGCUCAAGAAGCAUUGGAUGAGGCUGGGAAUGCUGGUCGAUGCCAAGGGAAAAGUACCUGUGAAAGUGGUGGCCAAAACAUUCGCCUCCGGUAAAACUGAAAAGCUAGUCUACCAAAUCCUGUCGGAUCUCGGGCUGCCGAGCAGCAAAAAUGACGCCAUCGAGAAGGCGGACUUUACGUUCGAAAAGUUCUACGAACUGUACCACAAGAUCUGCCCCAGAAAUGACAUCGAGGAGCUGUUCCGAUCGAUCACCCAGAACAAGGCAAACGAGAUCAACCUGGACCAGUUCGUCAACUUCCUCAACGAAAAGCAACGUGAUCCUCGACUGAACGAAAUCCUCUACCCGUUCUACGACGAGAAGCGCGCCCUCGAGAUCAUCAACACGUACGAGCAGGACGAGAAAGCGCGCGAAGCCAAAACCCUCACCAAGGACGGACUGAUCCGGUACCUGAUGUCGGACGAGAACGCGCCCGUGUUCCUGGACCGGCUCGACAUCUACAUGGACAUGGACCAGCCUCUGAGCCAUUACUACAUCAACUCGUCCCACAACACGUACCUGUCCGGGCGACAGUUCGGUGGCAAGAGUUCCGUCGAGAUGUACCGCCAGACGCUGCUGGCCGGCUGCCGGUGCGUCGAGCUGGACUGCUGGGACGGGAAGGGCGAGGACGAGGAACCGAUCAUCACGCACGGCAUGGCCAUGUGUACGGAUAUUCUGUUUAAGGACGUAAUCUACGCGCUGCGCGACACGGCCUUCGUCACCUCGGACUACCCGGUGAUUCUGUCGUUUGAGAACCACUGCUGCCGGGUGCAGCAGUACAAGCUGGCCAAGUACUGUGAUGAAAUCCUCGGCGAUUUGCUGCUGAAGGAGCCGCUGCCCGACUUUCCGCUGGAACCGGGAGCUCCGUUGCCUCCGCCGUCGGCGUUGAAGCGCAAGAUUCUCAUCAAAAACAAACGGCUCAAGCCGGAGGUCGAGAAGCGCGAGCUGGAGCUGUUCCUGCAGGGCGAGUUCGUCGUGGAGGACGAAGUCAAGGAAGACGCCAGCGCGGUCCGAAAGAUCGAUCCAACCGAAGAAGCAGCGGCGGUGGCCCCAACCGCGGCUGCCGCGGAAGGCGGCGAGGAAGUUGCGGUGGUUCAGUACACCGGCUCAACGACCAACGUCCAUCCGUGGCUGUCGUCGAUGGUCAACUACGCGCAGCCCAUCAAGUUCCAAACGUUUGACUAUGCCGACACGAAGAACAUUCACCACAACAUGUCGUCGUUUGCCGAAACGACCGGAAUGAAUCUGCUGAAGCAACAGGCCAUCGACUUUGUCAACUACAACAAACGCCAAAUGUCUCGCAUCUACCCCAAGGGAACCCGUGCCGAUUCGUCCAACUACAUGCCCCAGGUGUUCUGGAACGCCGGCUGUCAGAUGGUGUCCCUCAACUUCCAAACCUCCGAUCUACCGAUGCAGCUGAACCAGGGAAAGUUCGAAUACAACGGCAACUGUGGCUAUCUGCUGAAGCCCGAUUUCAUGCGACGAGCGGACCGAAAUUUCGACCCAUUCGCCGAUGCCCCCGUGGAUGGUGUGAUUGCUGCGUCCUGUGGCGUACAGGUCAUUGCCGGUCAGUUCUUGUCCGACAAGAAGGUGGGAACCUACGUCGAGGUGGACAUGUACGGUCUACCGUCGGACACCGUCCGAAAAGAGUUCCGAACCCGUCUCGUCCCGGCUAACGGUCUCAACCCGGUCUACAAUGAAGAACCGUUCCUCUUCCGUAAGGUGGUCCUUCCAGAUCUUGCCGUGCUUCGGUUCGGAGUCUACGACGAAAACGGAAAACUUCUCGGACAACGAAUCCUCCCGCUGGACGGUCUCCAAGGUGGCUACCGGCACAUCUCCCUCCGUACCGACGCCAACUUCCCCAUGUCCCUGCCCAUGUUGUUCUGUAACAUCGAGCUGAAGAUCUACGUCCCGGACGGCUUCGAAGACUUCAUGGACGCGUUGUCCGACCCGCGCGCCUUCAUGGGUGCCGCCAAGGAGCGGUCGGACAACAUGAAGGCCAUGGGCAUUGAAGAGUCCAGCUCGGGAGCGGCAGCCGACGCCACCAAGGGCACUAAGACUACCGAAGUUACCGAACCGCCGCUGGUCUUCGAUCCCAUCACAGUGGAAUCACUCCGCCAGGAGAAAGGGUUCCAAAAGACUGCCAAAAAGCAGCAAAAAGAACUCGACAGCGUAAAGAAGAAGCACGCCAAGGAACGGGCCGGCGUCCAGAAGACACAGAACGCUGCCAUCGAACGGUUGAUCAAGGGAAAGAGCAAAGAGGAAAUCAAAGCCGAUCCCGCCAUCCGGAAGGUGAUCCAGGAGCAGAACGCCACCUGGAGCGAGAUGAUCGAGCGCCACAAGAAGGAAGAGUGGGACCUGCUGAAGACGCAACUGAACGACCAGAAGGAGAUCCUGCGAAAGCUGAUGGAAACGACCCAGGCCGCGCAGAUGAAGCAGCUCGAGGCCAAACACGAACGCGAGGUCAAGAACCUGAACAGCCAGCAGGCGAAAAUCUCCGUCGAAACUUCGAAGGAGGUCGCCAACGACAAAACGCUCAAGACCAAGGGCGAAAAGGACCGGCGACUGCGCGAGAAGAAGCAGAACAACAUCAAGCGGUUCAUGGACGAGAAGAAGACUGCCGGCAUCAAGCAGAACCGCGAGAAGGAAAAGCUAAAGGUGACCCACGACAAGCAGCUCGAGGAGCUGGACAACGACGUGCAAAAGGUACAAAACGCGUACAGGGAGAUUGUUACGCUAGAAACGGUGGUGUAGUAGCGUAGCGUAGCCUCCGAAACCACCCCACCCACACCAAUGGUCACAACAACGCACACGGACGCGCCCGCGGCGCAUUCCGUGUAUUUGCCAAAACCGAUCUGUGUUACGUAGAUCUUACUCUAUUUCUUAUGUAAAUUUUGGUUAAGUUUUGUUAAGUUUCGGUUUAGAGUAGCUAAUUUCCGUUCAGUUGUUCUCAGAGUAGAUUUACGAUAAGUUCACGCGCGUACCUUAUCCUGCUUCAGUUGAUGUUUCUUCCCCCCUCCUGCCCAACUCUCUUGAGUGUAUUGUGUUAACACAAUUUUGAAACAUGCUCCAGAUCUUCAGUUUUGCUGCCGACACCUCAUCCAAAUGUACGUGGUCGAGGAGGAGGAGUACAAGCUGACCAGCAAGAUGGAGUUUUACGCUUAAAGUGCUGGCCGCUGCCACGAGAUGAUACAACCGAGCAAAACUCAUGCAAACAAUCUGAAAAUCUAGAGGAAAAAAAGAACAACUAAUAAUCAUAUGUAUAUGAGUACGAAAACCCCAUAUUUUAGAGAAAUAUUCAACAACAACAAUAUGCUCUAUAAUCAUAUGAAAUGUAUCAUGUUGUGCAAAAGUCUUUAGGAGAACCAAAAAAAUAAAGAAUUAGAAAAUAAAAAAAACAACAGCAACACUAAUAGUAUUAACAAAACAAACCAACUACAUUUACUAUGAUAGCAAACAAAAAAAAACAAAACAUUUAGAAAAGAGAGAGAGAGUAAUCAAAGUGAGAUUAGCUGUUUUAGAAACCAUCAAUUUCGUGAACAAAAUGAGAGGUAUCUUUAUAUACUGACUUGUAGUGUGUGUGAACUAAGCAAACAAACAAACAAAAAAAUACUAAAAAGAGAUGUUGAUCCUUUCGCACUGAUAGAAUGUUAUUAGAGUUGCAAAUAAAGCAAAAACAACAAAAAAAACACAAGGAAGGGGAUUCAGAAUCAUCCUACUAGUAAGACCGCGGGAACAAAUAAAAUUCGAAAAUCAUUAUGAAAAAAAAAACAUUUUAAACUAGACAAUUUCAACUGCCUUUCUUUAGCAAUGUUGUUGCGUUAAGUUUGUUUCGAUUUUUGCGCUUGUUUUCUUCUUUUUUGUUGCGAUACAAUUUUUUUUGGGUAGAAUGUCAAUUAGAAAUGAAUCUGAACAUAGUUGUUGAAUAUUUUUGCUGGAAACAUUGCAAACAUUUUUGAAUGGUUGUUUUAUUUCUCUUCGGUGAAAAAUAGCGUCACAGUUCCUUGUUUUACACAACUCUCUACGAUUUCUCAUGUGUAAGAAUGUUAAAGUCACAUAUCAAAGAUUAGACAUUAGAUUGCUUUCCAAAAUUAGUCACCCAAAAACGUUUGAAAAUAUUUGCAAUGCUCCCUUUUCUAUCUUUUUUCGAAGUAGAAACCUUAGUUCAAUUUUCUGAUAGCAAUCAACAUUGUUUCAUCUUCGGGCAGCCUCUUUUGUUCGCACUGGCCGGAGUAGAAACUAGAACAUGAUAAACCCCAAUAUAUAAGCUGGUGAAAAGUGGAGUGUGUGUCAUAAAACUUUUGAAACUUACCAAUGAAAAAUCAUAUUAAAGUUAUAUACAGAAAAAUUUAAUUUUAAAAGCAAGUUACUGAAAAUGCAAAUGCAAGAUAAGUAUUUAGGGUUAAGCUAUUAUCGAAACAAGUAUUGUAUUAUUAAAAAAUAAAAAGAAAGAGACAUCUACUUCCCCCGUUCCUCAACUCCCUCCCCAUCCACCAGACUCCUCAAGCCGAGCUCCAUUUCCUGUCCCCUAUCUCUCUCAUCAUCUUACGAAUCGUUGUUCACUUUAAAAGAAACUACAACAAAAUCAUGAGUGCCUAUAAUACGAAAAAUCAUCCCUUACUUUUUUACCAAAACAACAAGAAAAGAAAUAAAAAAGGCGUGUGUGUGUGCGUUCGAAUUUCAAUUUCUUUCAGUUCUGUGAGUACUUUUAAAAAAAAUUCUUUCAAAAAGUACCCUCAGAAUCUCAACACAAACACACACACGUUGAAAGAUAUUCAACGAAAUGAUCAGUCCUAUCCAAAGAGAGAAUAUAAUGUGUAGAAACAAUUUUCUAGUCGUUACAUUUUAAGCAUGAAAACAUUAUAACCACUUCAGUUCACUUCUCAACAACAAACUGCUGGCUGAUCUCUCCGUUCCAGCAAAACGGAGUGAAAGAAAAUCGAAAACAUCAAACACACAAAAUAAGGACUUACACGGUGUAGUAACGUUAUGUGUAUCAUUUUCAACACAACAAAUCACAAGCAGGAUUUUUUGAAACCAAAAAAAACCAACAGCAAAUCAAAUAGCAAAAAACACACACAGUUAGGGAAAGCAGUGUAUCGAAAACUCCAAUAUACUAAUCAAAUCAAAUCAACCAAACAGCAGUGAAUAGCUGAGAUCGAGAGAGAGAAAACGAUUGGCAAUCGCCAUGUGCGCGCGUGUGGUUAGGAAGAAGCUGGUUGAAGCAGGUUGAGUCAUUAACAUAAGUUUUAAAAAGCAAAAAAUUGGGAAAGUAAAAGAGCAUCCAUUAGCAAAAAA